UACUGUCACGGAGUCUACUACUUCUUGGUCUUCCAGCAAGAUUUACGGUCCCGUCCUCGUUGCUUUUUUCCAACCACGUGAACUUGAGCAAUUCAGGGUUUAAAGAGGAGAUUUUCAAACAUUAACAUGAUCCAGUCUCAAUAUACCCUCUCUUAAACACAACAUUGACUUCCACAAUAUCACUAAAGAACAUCUCAUUUAGGAACUAAUAAAGGGUAGAAUGCAUUUCCAUUACUGCAUUUCAGGAUAAAACCAACAAAAUCCACCUAUGUCUUCAACUGUAGGCUGGCCCUCCUUGAUGGGGGUGAUGUUCUCAGAUGAAGAGGCACUGCCCUUCCCAGACUGAAGCUUAACAUGGCUACUGUCCUGGGAGCUGGCAGGGUCUGUGAAGGCCUCCUGGGUGGAGUUGGAGACCGACAGCGUCGCCACCACGCUAUCCUGACUGCGCUCUGCCAGGAGUCACAAACACAGGUCAUGUGGCCAACUCUGAGCCUGGCCUGGGUGCCAGUCACACCCAUGGACCAUCCUCUGGGUUCUCAAGGGAUCAAUCACAAAGCUGUUAAGGUUACCAUUCAGGAAUAAAAUAGGUAUGUAGAUCCCAUGAAAGGGGGUAAAGUGUGCAUAGCAGUGUAAAAUCUCUAUACACACCAGGAUCAUCAGCAGGAGAGCAAUUACAGUAAUCGUACAAACAUAAAAAGCACUAGACCUUAGUCAGCACCCAAGCCAAUGAAAAACUAGGUGCCUGCCUUCUUCCUAAGCACAUUGUGCAUCCUCAGCAAGAAGCUGCAGUCUUCUGCAGACAAUAAUCAAAUUAGCAGGAGGGAAACACAGUUCUAUGAAAGGAGCUCUGGGGACUUGUUAAAGGCCUCCUGUAAUUACAGCCCAAAAAUGUAGCCGAUAGAGGUGUUGCAAGAAGGAUUGCCCCUUAAAGAGAAGUGUGGGGUAGUGACUAAGUUGUGAACAUUCCGGGACACCUUUACAUUGAAUAAUUGUUUCCCCUAAAAUUGUGCAUAUCAAUAAUGUCCUGAAGAUGGAUUUAAGAGCAGUUUGUGGGAGGGACGUAAGUUCAGUACAAUUCAGGGAUGCCAGCUACAUUGGACACCUGGGAAGGCAGUAAUCAUGUCAAGUUCUGGGGUGACUUAAAAGAUAUCGGGAGUUUGUUUUAAAACACACAAAAAAAAACUCCAUUCCUGAUUUGACAAUAGUACUCCUCGUAAUUGCUGACAGAUUGCUUACUGUUAGCAUGACGUGUUUUAAACAGGCAUUAAGCAAGAAGGGCUUGGCACCCACUGGCAAACCUGCCUGCACAUGGUGGUUCAUUUCUGCCAUCUAGAUCAAAGGAUGUGUGCCAAUGAGGUGCCAACCACAUUCUGACUGAUUUGGCAUUAUAUCAUCAUAUCAACUGAACACAAUUUCAAUAGAAAACACUAACUAUGGCAUAUCUUUCAAAUACAAUCAAAUAGGUUUAAGAUCUUUGUUGCAAACGUUAGCCAACACCAAAACACAAGUCAAAUAGUAGCCCACGGUCCAAGUCACACCAUUCAAUGGAUUGUUUGAGAGAGGACUGAAUUUGUCCAGUGACAGCAUUAUUCCUUGGGAUCUACAUGCAUAUAAACGACAAAGCAGGUGGCAGAAACAAGCAGGCAGGAAAGAAUGACAGAAACGGGCAACAUGGCUGCAGUAUUCAGACAUUCAAGCUACAGGGCAACAUGGGCAAUAUGGCUGCAGUAUUCAGACAUUCAAGCUACAGGGCAACAUGGGCAAUAUGGCUGCAGUAUUCAGACAUUCAAGCUACAGGGCAACAUGGGCAAUAUGGCUGCAGUAUUCAGACAUUCAAGCUACAGGGCAACAUGGGCAAUAUGGCUGCAGUAUUCAGACAUUCAAGCUACAGGGCAACAUGGGCAAUAUGGCUGCAGUAUUCAGACAUUCAAGCUACAGGGCAACAUGGGCAAUAUGGCUGCAGUAUUCAGACAUUCAAGCUACAGGGCAACAUGGGCAAUAUGGCUGCAGUAUUCAGACAUUCAAGCUUCAGGGCAACAUGGGCAAUAUGGCUGCAGUAUUCAGACAUUCAAGCUAUAGGGCAACAUGGGCAAUAUGGCUGCAGUAUUCAGACAUUCAAGCUACAGGGCAACAUGGGCAAUAUGGCUGCAGUAUUCAGACAUUCAAGCUACAGGGCAACAUGGCUGCAGUAUUCAGACAUUCAAGCUAUAGGGCAUAGGGGGGAAACAACAUGCUAAAGGAUGUUUUUACAGUAUAGUGCAAAGAUAUUUUGCAAAGCCAUUUGUAAUGAAUGGUCAGUUUACAUUCAAUAUACACAACCAACAGCAUUUAUUUAAUGACAUUGUUUCACUUAUUGCAAAUAUUUGUGUUUACCCUUGACGUCUUUGCAACAAUGUAAACAACUACACAAUGCUGAUGUCAAUAUCAUUUCAGUUAUGGGACAUGCUGGAGAAAAGGUAACCGGAGCCAAUUGUACAUUCCUGUAUGUAGCCCUAAGUUUCUAUAAGGGAAAAGCUACUAAGAAUACUGCUUCAUACAUUGCAUUUCAGCUUUUUUCAGGAACAUAUUAGGCAAAUCUGUCCUAAUUUCCUACUAAGUAUGAACUGACACACACAAACACACUUUUUUUGUACAGUGUUGUUACGAUUGCUUCCCCUCUAAAAUAUGCUCUUAAAAAUGGUUCAUACAUUUAAACGUAGGUUUAGUGCACUUAGAUGUGGCACAUUUUUAAAAGAUGCAGAAUACACACUGUGGUGAAGGAGACAAUCAGCUCAACAACAACAAAUUGGGGGUUAAGAGUAAACUGCUUGUGUCUGUCAUCACACUACUGUCAUGCAAUGUUAAGUGUUAAAAUGUAGAGCAAAGUUGCAUCAGUGCAUUAACUGAUAUCAUAUUGUGUUGGUAAUUCAUUUUGAAAAGCUACCCCUUUCAUAGUGAAGGAUUUUUAACCAUGCUCUUAUAUUGUCUGUCAAUAUCAUCUAUAUUUGGACAGUAUAGGUCUAGUAAAGUAGAAUAAUUUAAAUGACUCUUUACAAGGUGAGUGAUUCACCCCACUCUAGCAUUUUAAAACAGGACAUUAAUGUGUACUCUAAAUGCAGCCCCUUCUCGACUGUUCCAACUGACAGGUAACACUCAGCAGCACUAGACUUUGGUUUAGUAAUGAAUCUGCACACAGUGAGAGGCAUAUUACAGAAACCAGUUAAAGUGUCAGAAUAGCUACCAAACGUUCUUUGACACAUAAUAUUUAUAUCAAGACAAGCUUAGGACAAGUAAACUGCCUCCCUCUAUAAGUGUCCUGUCAGUGUGACAAAAUCUUAAAUUCAGCUCAGUCGUUCCAAGUGAACCUGUAGUGAGAUGUCAUUGCCAGGACAAUGCAGCAACUGUUCCCUGGGAUCAGGUAAAACCUCUCAAUGGAAGCCUGGCUGUGUCUUGCCUGUGGCUCUGUGUUGGUCAUAUGAGUCUAGAGUCAACACACUAAAAGCCUGCUGUGUCCAGAACAGAGCUCUCUUUUACUGGCCAUUUCCCCCUCUAAAAGACAGCACACCUUACAGAGAACAUAUCGAUAUCCAAGUCUAAAGCGAUAGCCAGCAAGCUUGCAUUCUUUCAUAAAAUAAUUGCCCUGCUAUGAUUUGAUUAGUAAGAAGUCAUCAGAAAAAAACGAUGAAAUCAAAAGUUAAAAAAGGUCCAGCGCAUCCGGUUUUAUCUCAAUAUCAAAUCAUUUCUGGGUAACAAUUAAGUAUCUUACUGUGAUUGUUUUCAAUUCAAAUGAGAAACAAAAAUUGCUUUGUAGCAAAGAGCAAUUUCUCAAUCAAGAAUGCUGCUAGGACUGUCUGGGAGUGAUCUGAAAUGGGAGGGGAAAAUUGAAAGUUAACUAUUAUUGGCAGGGAGGUUUGGAACUCUUUCUUAUUGGCAGGCCACCAAAAUAGGCUGCAAUUGCAGGCUCUUUUUAAACAACUCUCACACUAAAAAGGAAAUUAUCACAUUAUUAUUCCCACCUCAUGGUGCUCCCGAGUGGCGCAGCGGUCUAAGGCACUGCAUCCCAGUGUUAGAGCAGUCACUACAGACCCUGGUUCGAUUCCAGGCUGUACAACCAGCCGUGAUUGGGAGUCCCAUGGGGCGGUGCACAAUUGGCCCAGCGUCAUCCAGAUUUGGCCGGGGUAUGCCGUCAUUGUAAAUAAGAAUUUGUUCUUAACUGACUUGCCUAGUUAAAUAAAGGUUAAAUAAAAUAAAUAAUUUUAAAAAGUGGAAAUAGAUAUAUAUAUAAAAAACAGGAAAAUCAAGUUGACUGCAUUGGUCUUUACAAUUAGAAGCUAAAACCAAAACUUUAUCAAAUCAAAAGCCAAGAUCUAUUCUCAAUCUAAAUUGCUUCAUAAGAGGUGAUGACAACCGUCACUCUCCUCACCCCAACCUGGGCUUGAACCAGGGGCCCUCCGCACACAGCAACAACAGCCAUCAUCUAAGCAUUGUUACCUAUCGCUCCACAGCCCUUGCAGAGCAAGGGAAACAACUACUUCAAGGUCUCAGAGAAAAUGAUAUCACCGUUUGAAAUGCCACUAGCGCGCAGUGCUAACUAGCUAGCCAUUUCACACUGGUUACACAUGGAUACAAGCUCUGCUGAAGUUACAAUAGAAAACAAUGUCAUCAAAAGGCAAGGGAAAUGGGAAAGAAAGGAAGAGGGUGACCAGCACAAACUUCUACAUAUUAACACACACAGGCCAGGACGCCCUCUACCAAACUCUACCUUCACACCUCUGUUUGCCUGAACUAAAUGCCAUUGCAUUUUUAUAGAGCAGUAAAACAAUGUCCAAAUAACCUGAGAUACCAUAUUGCCCAAUUCCCCAAGACAUCCCAAUCACCCAGUGCUAGUUGAGUCAUCACUGGAACCAGAGCCAUUAUCAUCAUAGUGAUUAUCCUCAUAACAAACACCACUCCCCAGCCCGGUGAAGAAUGGGCCCAACCCCAGAGAACCAGAGUCUAGGACUGGGACUGUACCAUCAGCUCCUCCUCAUACUGUUUCCUCGUCUGCUGCAGCCGGAGGGUGUUACGUUUGGUCUGCUGCAGCCGGAGGGUGUUACGUUUGGUCUGCUGCAGCCGGAGGCUGUUACGUUUGGUCUGCUGCUGCCGGAGGCUGUUACGUUUGGUCUGCUGCAGCCGGAGGGUGUUACGUUUGGUCUGCUGCAGCCGGAGGGUGUUACGUUUGGUCUGCUGCAGCCGGACGGUGUUACGUUUGGUCUGCUGCAGCCGGAAGGCUGUUACGUUUGGUCUGCUGCAGCCGGAGGCUGUUACGUUUGGUCUGCUGCUGCCGGAGGCUGUUACGUUUGGUCUGCUGCUGCCGGAGGCUGUUACGUUUGGUGUAAUUGUGGUCGACCAGAGUGGCCGUGUAAGGUGGGGACGUCAGACCUGCAGCGUUGGAGGGGAGGGAGGCCCCAUGAACAUCCAUCACACACAGAUGACACACAGCAGUGGGAGUCCUCGUCCAUCAUGGAGAGGGGCUUCUCCCUGAGGUGAGAGAGGGGGUGGGGACAAAACAAAAGGUUGGGCCAGAGGGGGAGAAUUAUGUUUUUCCUUUUGGUUUGUAGUCGAGUCACAGAAUGAGUUUUAUAAGACAGAGCAUAGAUCCCAGGCAAAGGUUGAGGUCCCUCACUUUUCAUUGGACCUGGGCCUGCCCUUCUCUUCUCUUCUCUUCCCCCCCUGGCAAAGGGUCCAGUGGCCACCUCAGCCAGGAUGUUGAAGAAGAUCAUGCUCCAGGUCUGGUUCCUCAGACUCAUUUACAUUACAUUUAAGUCAUUUAGCAGACGCUCUUAUCCAGAGCGACUUACAAAUUGGUGCAUUCACCUUAUGACAUCCAGUGGAACAGCCACUUUACAAUAGUGCAUCUAAAUCUUUUAA
Long non-coding RNA from Oncorhynchus keta (chum salmon), 5889 nucleotides. RefSeq lists it as uncharacterized. The transcript has 3 exons. The record is from RefSeq and is a predicted model, not a curated record. Lineage: Eukaryota; Metazoa; Chordata; Actinopteri; Salmoniformes; Salmonidae.